CAAUAGCGUAUAUUAAAGUUGUUGCGGUUAAAAAGCUCGUAGUUGGAUUUCUGCUUUGUGCGACCGGUCCAUCCUUUUGGUUGGCAUCUGGAUCGCUCAGGGCAUUUUCCUGGGAGACAUGGCUGCACCUCGUUGUGUGGCCUGUUACCUGGGUCUUUUACUUUGAGGAAAUUAGAGUGUUUCACGCAGGCGCUUGCCUUGAAUACAUUAGCAUGGAAUAAUACGAUAUGACUUUGGUUCUGUCUUGUUGGUUUCUGGAGCCAAGGUAAUGAUUAAUAGGGAUAGUCGGGGGCAUUCGUACUUAACUGUCAGAGGUGAAAUUCUUGGAUUUGUUAAAGACGAACUAAUGCGAAAGCAUUUGCCAAGGAUGUUUUCAUUGA
Molecule: ribosomal RNA, 380 nt
Filed under: uncultured eukaryote
Lineage: Eukaryota
Description: partial 18S ribosomal RNA
Rfam family: Eukaryotic small subunit ribosomal RNA
Source: RNAcentral